CCACACGAAGCUGGAAUCGCUAGUAAUCGUGAAUCAGAAUGUCACGGUGAAUACGUUCCCGGGUCCUUGUACACACCGCCCGUCACACCAUGGGAGUCAGCAACGCCCGAAGUCAGUGACCUAACCGAGAGGGAGGAGCUGCCGAAGGCGGGGCCGGUAACUGGGGUGAAGUCGUAACAAGGUACC
Molecule: ribosomal RNA, 186 nt
Filed under: uncultured bacterium
Lineage: Bacteria
Description: partial 16S ribosomal RNA
Rfam family: Bacterial small subunit ribosomal RNA
Source: RNAcentral